CAGGCGCCCGGUACACUGAAGCCACCUGCCGAAUAUGCCAGAACCAUGUGCCAGACAUGACAGAACCAUGUGAGGGAUACACCAGUAACAGGUCCAGCACAGGCCAGAACCAAGUGCUGGACACGCCUGAAACAGCUGGCGGACACACAUGAACCACCUGCUAAACCAGCCUGAACCACUUUACGGACAAUCCAGAACCAGUUGCCCAACAUGCCUGAACAACCUGCUGGACACUCUGGAACUACCCGCCGGACAUAUGCCCAGCGUCCACCAGAAACGCCUGAACCACCUCCCAGACACUCUGGAACCAACCGCUGUAAAAAUCGGAACCACUACCUGGACAAUCUGCAAACACCUGCCGGAGACACCAAAAUCAGGUCCCGGCAGGUGGUCCGGGUGUGUCUGGCACCUGGCUCCGGCGUGUUCGGCAGAUGGUUCCGGCAUGUCCACCAGAUGGUUCUGGCGCAUUCUGAAGGUGGUUACGGAACAUCAGGCAGGUGGUUCAAUCAUGUCCAGCAGCUGGUUCAGUCUUGUUCGGGAGGUGCUUCAGUCAUGUCCAGCACCUGCUUCUGGUAUGUGCAACACCUGUUUCUGGCGUAUCCAGCAGGUGGUUCAGUCGUGUCCGGCACCUUGUUUCUGUGUGUGCAACACCUGUUUCUGGCGUAUCCGGCAGGUGGUUCUGGCGUGUCUGGCAGGUGUUUCCCUCAAGCCUGGCUGGUGGUCCAGGCAUGUCCAUCAGGUGGUUCCGGUGUGUCGGGCACCUGGUUCCAGCACGUCUGGCAUGUGGUUCUGGAAUGUCCAUAAAGUGGUCCUCGCUGGUCCAGCAGGUUGUCCAGGCUGGUAUGGCAGCUGCUUCAGGCUUGUCCAGCACCUGGUUCUGGCCUGCCCUGGACCUGUUUCUGGCGUAACCAGCAGAUGGUUCCAGCGAGUCCAAGAGGUGGCUCGGCUGUGUCCGGCAGAUGGUUUCGGUGUAUUCAGCAGGUGAUUUGGACGUGGCCACCAGGUGUUUCCACCAUGUCUGGCAACUGGUUCUGGCAUAUUCGGCAGGUGGUUUCAGGGUAUCCGGUACCUGAUUCUGCCAUAUGUGAGAGGUGAUUCCGGCAUGUCUGGCAGUUGGUUCUGGGGUGUCAGGCUGGUGAUUCUGCCGUGUUUCGCAGGUGGAUCAGUGCUGUCCAGCAGGUGGAUCAGUCAUGUCGGGUGGUGGGUUGCAGCAUAUCCCGGGGUGGUUGCAGUGUGUCCAGAAGGUGGUUCUGUCAUGUCGGGCAGGUGGUUCUGGUGAGUCAAGCAGGUGGUUAUGGCAUGUUUGGCAGGUGGUUCAGGCGUGUCUGUCAGCUGGUCCAGGUGCAUCUGGCACAUGGUCCAGGCAUGGCCGUCCCGUGGUCCAGGCAUUUCUAAAACAUGGUUCUGACAUGUCCGAAAGAUGGUUUGGGCGUGUCUGGCAUCUGAUUCAGUCCUCUCCGAGAGGUGCUUUGGGGGUGUCCCACAGGUGGUCCUGGUGUGUUUCCGGCCAGUGGUUCAGCAUGUCUGGCACGUCAUUCGAGUAUGUGUGGUCUGGGGUUCUGGUUUGUAUAGCAGGCAGAUCCAGUGUGUCUGGCACCUGGCUCCGGCAUGCUUGGCAGGUGGUUCUGGCAUGUCCACCAGAUGGUUCCGGUGCAUCCUGAAGGUGGUUAUGGCGUGUCCAGCAGGUGGUUCAGGCUUGUCCGUCACUUGGUUCCGUCGUGUCCAGCACCUGCUUCCAGCAUUUGCGUCACCUGUUUCUGGCAUAUCUGGCAGGUGGCUUCAGCAUGUCCAGUGGGUGGUUCAGUCAUCUCCUGCACCUGGUUAUGGCGUGUGCAACAACUUUUUCUAGCGUAUCUGGCAGGUGAUUCCAGCAUGUCUAGCAGGUGGUUCACGCUAGUUUGGCAGGUGUUUUGGGUGUGUCCAGCAGGCGGUUCUGGCCUUAGGGCACCAGGUUCCGCUGUGUCCAGCACUUGGUUCUGGCAUAUCCUGCAGGUGGUUUCAGUGUAUCUGGCCCCUGGUUCCAGCAUAUCCAACAGGUGGUUCCGGUGUGUCUAGCAGGUGGUUCAGGUGUGUCUGGGAAGGGGUUCUGUUACAUUCGGAAGGUGCUUCCGGCGUGUCUGGUGGGUGAUUCCAGUGUGUCUGGCAGUUGGUUCCAGCAUGUGUGGCUGGUGGUUCCAUCGUGUCUGUUUGCUGGUUCUGAUGUGUCCGGUGGGUGCUUCUGGGGUGUCCGGCAGCUGCUUCCCACAUGUCCAGAGGGUGAUUUCACCACAUCCAGCAGGUGGCUAUGGCGUGUCCAGGAUCUGAAUCCAUCAAGUUGGGUGGUGGUUUUGGUAUGUUUGGGUGGUGGUUCCUGCGUGUCCAGCAGGUGAUUUUGGCGUGUCUGGCAGAUGGUUCCAGUGAGUCAAGUAGGUGGUUGCAGCGUGUCAGGCAGGUGGUUCAGGUGUGUCCAGUAGGUGGUUCAGGCCUGUUCGGAAGGUGGUUUCGGCGCAUCCAGCACCUGGUUCUGGCAUAUCUGACAUGUCGUUCCAGCGUGCCCAGCAUGUGAUUCCAGAUUGUCCAUCAAGUGUUUCAGGCAUAUCCAGCAGGUGUUUCAGUCUUUUCUGGCAGGUGGUUCCAGCAUGUCCUGCCAGGGGUACUGGCGUGUCAUUCAGGUAGUUCCAGCGUGUGAGGCAGGGGCUUAUAACAUGCCCAAGACCUGAUUCUGGCGUCUCCAGUGCAUGGUUCCAGAGUGUCCGGGUUGUGGCUCCGAUGUGUCCAGCAGUUGGUUCCAGCAUGUCAGGCAGGUGGUUCAGGCGUUUCCAGGGGAUGGUUCCGGUAUGUCCAGCAGGUAGUUCAGGUGUGUCCAGCAGGUUGUUCAGGCAUGUCUGUCAGCAGGUUCAGCUGCAUUUGGGACAUUGUCCUGGCAUGGCCAUCCCGUGGUCCAGGCAUUUCUGAAACGUCGUUCUGACGUGUCCAAAAGGUGGUUUGGGCAUGUCCAGCAUCUGAUUCAGGACUGUCCAGGAGGUGCUUUGGUGGUAUCUGGCAGGCAGUCCAGGUGUGUCCAGCAUUGAUUCCGGCAUGUCCAGUGUUUCUUUCUAGAAUGUCUGGAGUUUGGUUCUGGGACGUCCAGCGGGCGAUUCCAGUGUGUCCAGCACCUGGCUUUUCAGUAGGUGGUUCCUGCAUGUCCACCACAUGGUCCCAGCGUGUCCUGAAGGUCAUUCCGGCAUGUCCAAUAGGUAUUUCAGUCCUGUCCAGCAAGUGCUUCAGGCUUGUUCGGCAGUUGGUUCAGUCGUGUCCAGCACCUGGUUCCAGCGUGCGUGACUCCUGUUUCUGGCAUUUCUGGCAGGUGAUUCUGGUGUGACCAGCAGUUGGUUCAUGCAAGUCUGGCAGGUGAUUCAAGCGUGUCCAGCAGGUGGCUCUGGCAUGUCAGGCAGCUGGUUCCACCUUGCCCAGCAUGUGGUUCCAGAAUGUCCGUAAAGUGGUUCAGGGUGGUCUAGCAGAUGGUUGAGGCUAGUCAUGCAGCAGCUGCAGGCUUGUCUGGCACCUGGUCCUGGCCUGUGCUGGACCUGUUUCUGGUGUAUCCAGCAGGUGGUUCUGGCAUGUCCUGCACAUGGUUUUGGUGUAUCUGACAGGUGAUUUGGACGUGUCUGGCAGGUGUUUCUGCCAUGUCUGGCACCUGAUUCUGGUGAUUUCGGCAGGUGGUUUCAGUGUAUUUGGCACCUCGUUCCGGCAUAUCCAACAGGUGGUUCCGGUGUGUCAGGCAGGUGGUUCAGGUGUUUCUGGCAUGUGAUUCUGGUACGUCUGUAAGGUGGUUCUGGGAUGUCCAGUGGGUGCAUCCAGAGUGUCUGGCAGUUGGUACCGGCAUGUCUGGAGGGUGGUUCUGGAUGUCUGAGUGGUGGUUCCAGUGUGUCGGGUGGGUAGUUCUGGCAUGUCUGUUGGGUUGUUCUGGCGUAAAAGAGGCCAGGUUCCGGCGUAUCUGGCAGGUGAUUUUGGCGUGUCCAGCAGGUUGUUCUGGCAAGUCAAGCAGAUGAUUGCGGUGUGUCCCACUAGGUUGUUCAGGCAUGUGCAAAAGGUGGUUCAGGUCUAUCCUGAAGGUGGUUUCUGCACGUCUGGCACCUGGUUCUGGCAUAUCUGACAUGUGGUUCCAGCGUGCCCGGCAUGUGGUUCCAGAUGUCUGUAAAGUGGUUCAGUAAUAUCCGACUGGUGGUUCAGUCUUGUCUGGCGGGUUAUUCAGCUUUCUCUGGCUUGUGCUUCCGGCAUGUCCUGCCAGUGGUACUGGCGUGUCAUUCAGGUGGUUCCAGCAUGUCUGGCAGGGGUUUCCUGAGUGUCUGGUAUGAGUUUCCAGUGUGUCUGGAAGGUGGUUCUGAUGUGUCAGGAGGGUGCUUCUGGGGUGGCUGGCAGUUGGUGCCCGCAUGUCCAGUGAGUGAUUCCAGCGUGUGCAGCAGGUGGGUACAGCGUGUCCAGGACCUGAUUCUGUCAUGUCGGAUGGUGGCUUUGGCAUCUUUGGGUGGUGGUUCUGGCGUGUCCAGUAGGUGAUUUCAGCAUGUAUGGCAGGUUUUUCCACCCUGUGUGGAAGUUGGUUCUGGUGUAUUCAGGACUUGGUUUUGGGGUAUCCAGAAGUUGAUUUUGGCGUGUCUGGCAGGCUAUUCUGGUGUGUCUGGCACGUGGUUCUGGCUUGUCUGGCAUGUGGUUCUGGCAUGUCCACCACCUGGUUCUUGUGUAUCCGGUGGGUGGUUUCAUGGUGUCCAGCACCUGGUUCUGCUGUAUCUGACAGGAGGUUCCGGCGUGACUGUCAGGUGUUUCCAGGGUCUCAGGCAGGUGGUUCUGGUGUGUCUGGCUGGUGGUUCAGCUGUGUUUGGCAGGUGGUUCUGGACUGUCCACCAAGUGAUUCAGGCGUAUCGGGCAAGUGCUUCAUUCUUCUCUGACAGGUGGUUCAGGCCUGUCCAGAAGGUGGUUCUGGCGUGUCCAGCACCCAGUUCUGGCAUAUCUGACUGGUGGUUCCGGCGUGCCCAGCAUGUAGUUCCAGAGUGUCUGUCAAAUGUUUCAGGCGUAUCCGGCAGGUGGUUCUGUCUUGUCUGGCAGGUGGUUCAGUUUUGUCUGGCAGGUGGCUCCGGCAUGUCUGGCCAAUGGUACUGAUGUGUCAUUCAUGUGGUUCCAGUGAGUCCAGCAGGGUGUUCCUGUGUGUCUGGCAUGAGUUGCCGGUAUGUCUGUAAGGUGGUUCUGACGUGUCCGGUGGGUGCUUCCGGGGUGUCUGGCAGUUAGUUCCUGCAUGUCUGGUGGGUGAUUUGGUGUGUCCAGGAGCUGAUUCUGUCAUGUCUGGUUGGUGGUAUCAAUGUUUCCGAUGGUGAUUCUGGCAUGUCCGGCAGGUUUUUCUGGCCUGUCUGGAAGAUGAUUCUGGCGCAUUCUAGACUUGAUACCAGCAUGACCAGCAGGUGAUUCACACAAGUCUGGCAGGUUGCUCAGGCUUGUCCAGCAGGUGGUUCUGGUGUUUCCGGCACCUGGGCCUAGCAUAUCCAACGUGUGGUUCCAACGUGUCUGGUGUUUGCUUCUGGGGUGUCUGGCAGUGGAUUCCUACAUUUCCAGUGGGUGAUUCUGGCAUGUCCGGCAAGUGGCUACAGUGUGUCUGAGACCUGAUUGCAUCGGGAUGGGUUGGUAGUUUCGGCAUGUCCAGGUGGUGGUUCCAGCAUUUCUGGCAGGUAUUUCCAGUCUGUCCGGAAUUUGGUUAUGGCAUAUCUGGGACCUGAUCCUGGCACAUCUGGCCGGUGAUUUCAGUGUGUCCAGCAGGCUGCUGCGGCAUGUCUGGCAGGUGGUUCUCGCUUUUCUGGCAGGUGGAUCUACUGUGUCCGGCACCUGGUUCUGGCAUAUCCAACAGGUGGUUCCAGAGAUUCCGGCAGGUGGAUCCAGGGUGUCAGGCAGGUGAUUACGGUGUGUCCAGCUGCUGGUUCAGCCAUGUUUGGUGGGUGGAUCAGUGCUAUCCAGCAGGUGGAUCAGUCGUGUCCGGCGGUUGGUUUCUGCAUAUCCGGGGGUUGUUCCAGCCUGUCAGUCAGUUGGUUCCAGUGUGUCCAGAAGAUGGUUCCGUUGUGUCCGGUGGGUGAUUUUCCACUUCCUGUAUGUAAUUCCAGCGUGUCCAGAAGGUGCUUCCGGCCUGUCCAAGACCUGAUUCUGGAGUCUCCAAUGUCUGGUUCCAGAGUGUCUGGGUGGUGGUUCCGACAUGUCUGGCAUUUGGUUCUAGCGUGUCAGGCAGAUGGUUCACUGCCGGGAGCCAUCAGCCUACAAGUUAAGCCUCUGCCUUGUGACACGGUCCAGGAGAGAGAUGAGGGGACUCACGGCGACCCUCAAGGGAAUCUACCAGGCUGCCCUUGCAACAAGUCUCCCUGGUACUUUUGACUUUCCUGCUUCUGCUUACUCUGUUCUACACCUGGUGGUGUUUCUGGGGAAUUCAGCCUGGCCUUGGGAAUGAGAAUGAUACAAUACAAUAUUCUAGGGAAAGUUCUGGGGAAAAACAUCUUCUAGGGAAAGAACAUUCUGACCCGUCCUUCGGUCAGGUGAAGCGAUGGGAGUGGAGAGGGAACAAAGAAAUCUGUGGCCCCCACAGAUCUCUCUGGGAGGACGGUGGUUGCCACGGCCCAUUGAGUCAGGAGGCUGCUGGGGGUAGCCUCCUUGAAGUACAGAAUUACAGAAGCUUGACUCCCCUCGGGCCUGCACAUAAUCCAUUGCUCUUAAGACUAUUAUCUACCUUACAAUCAAUUACUCUUAGGACUAUUGUCUACCUUGCAAAAACCCGCUUACGUGAGCCAAAGAUAUGUCCUGGGACUGUUUCAUGAAAUCAUCCUUGCAUACCCUGAGCCCUAUAUAAAUCAUACAUACACAAAAUAAAGUUAGACUUGGACACUAAACUCCUUGUCUCACUACCUGCUCCCUCGCCGAUGCCGUCCAUCCCCCAGGAGACCCUGUUCGGCUGGGGCUGGACCCCGGCAGUUCACGUGUUUCUGUUGGAUGGUUCUGGUGUGUCCAGUGGGUAGUUCUGGCAUGUCCGGCAGGUUGUUCAGGCAUGUCUGUCAGCUGGUCCAGGUGCAUCAAGCACAUGGUCAAGGAAUGGCCCUUCUGAGGUCCACAUAUUUCUGAAACGUGGUUCUCAUGUGUCCGAAAGGUGCGUUGGGCAUGUCUGGCAGGUGAUUCAGGCCUCUCUGGGCAGGGCAUUCGGGUGUCAGGCAGGUGGUCCAGGUUGGUCUGGCAUGUGGUUCCUGCAUGUCUGGCAUGUCGUUCCAGUAUGUCUGGCCUGUGGUUCCAGUGUGUCCAGCAGGUGGUUCUGGAGUGUCCGGUACCUGGCUCUGGCGUGCUGUGCAGGUGAUUCUGGCAUGUCCAACUGUUUCUCUGUCAACUAUAUAAUUUUGCAUUUUCAUGCGGGAAGUUUAUUGCUAAAAGUUACAGUUGAGGAAAUGUCAUUUUCCAACUUGUUAGUCAAAUUGUUUUUUAAUGACAAAGUGUAAUUUAAGUCAGAUUAACAAAAAUUAUCUACAGGAACUUAUACACCAAAUACAGCCAUAUUCUAGUACACAGAACACUGAAUUGGAGUUUAGAGAUUCAAAUUGGAAUACUUUAUCUGCUACUUACAGCUGUGGAACUCUUGAGUAUAAGGAAUUUACUAAUCUUCUCUUAGUCUUAUUUGCUCAUCUGUUGCCAAGAGAUGGAAGAAGAUUGCCUCUGCAGUAUCACCUUCCAAGUACCUCAGGAAUGCAAAUAAUGGAGGAUCCUAAUAUACAUCUAAAGUUCAAGAUGUAGAGAGUGUGGUAAACAUGGCUUUUAGCAUUCCAGCACCUUCCAAAGUGAAGGUAGGUGGAAUGGAGGUCAAAGAAGCCAACUUGUAUUAAGUUUAAAAUACGAACUAUAGCUGCUCACAAGAAAGAAUCAAAUAUUUCAUAGAAGGAGAUUUUUAAAGGCUUUAUUAAGGUAGUAAAGGUAAAAAAGGAACAGAAUAUAAAUUCCGUGGAAACUGCAAUAGUUUCUCUCCUUAGUUCCUAGCACUGAAUUAUAAGCCAUUUUGCUAAAGAUGUGGUAAUAAAGUGAGCAUUUUAUCUGGUGGUCAAUUUUCCAAAUAUACUAAGAAAC
This 8088-nucleotide long non-coding RNA is filed under the name Equus asinus (donkey). Its description in RNAcentral is "lncRNA (ENSEASG00005029761.1)". Lineage: Eukaryota; Metazoa; Chordata; Mammalia; Perissodactyla; Equidae. The record is from RNAcentral.